Molecule: ribosomal RNA, 246 nt
Filed under: uncultured soil bacterium
Lineage: Bacteria
Description: partial 16S ribosomal RNA
Rfam family: Bacterial small subunit ribosomal RNA
Source: RNAcentral
AGAACGAACGCUGGCGGCAUGCCUAAUACAUGCAAGUCGAACGAACUCUUCGGAGUUAGUGGCGCACGGGUGCGUAACGCGUGGGAAUCUGCCCCUUGGUUCGGAAUAACAGUUGGAAACGACUGCUAAUACCGGAUGAUGACGAAAGUCCAAAGAUUUAUCGCCAAGGGAUGAGCCCGCGUAGGAUUAGCUAGUUGGUGAGGUAAAGCUCACCAAGCCGACGAUCUGUAGCGUGUUGAGAGAACG